CCCCGGUCCCCCAUCCCACAUCUGUCCGGGAUCACCUCCUCUAAUUACCAACGAAUUUUUUGACGGCAUGAACAUCAAACUGUCAGACGCUGUCUGUUGGCACCGCCUUGCAGCGUGAGUCACUGCCGAGGUGCAGAGGCGAAAAACAAGCGCGUCUCUGUGCUGAGCUGCAGGUCCCGUCGGGGAGCAUCACCUGUCUGCGACGUUCGGUUAUGCUGUCAGAUUUGUGAGUUUUUCUUCUAUGACAUUACGAAGCAGAACAGGUAUGACCUCACACUGCCCGUGUAUUCCUGAUCACAGAACAGAAUAUCAAAGGAGCAGUCAGGCAAGAAUAGACGCCAUGACACUGUGCAGACCAGCGUCAACCUGUUUGUUCCUGUCACGGUGUGGGUUCGUUUCCUGUUUUAUUUUGUAGUUUCCUGCCUCUCGUGUCCCUGGUUAACUUCACUUCCUGCCCUGCUGUGUUUUCUUCGACAUUUCGGGAACCAAGAGCGUUAGAGCGGAACCUUUUACAGACGCCAAGUACAGUCAUUCAGUGGUUCCUGCUUCCUUCACAAGACAAGAGCACGAUCACGCACCAGAGACAACAAACGGCACUAAAGUGCACUGCAAUAAACCGAGCAGAGUAAAUGAGCACCAGUGUUUCUGGUCGCCGAUGUUGAAGUCAAGGCAGGAACAGAGGAGGAUCACAGUGAUUUUUACCAAAACGAUUGACAGGUCAUCAGUCAAACGGCCGUGUGACAACCAACUCUCCCUCUGUGUAAAAGACAAGGCGCUCAAUGUAGCGAGGAGGCCUCAAAUUCAAACUGCGACCUUUGCUGGUGAAGGUGGAAUGAUCUCGGGGGCGGACGGGCCUGCGGGCUGCGCCACCGACGGCUGAGGGGUCUGCGCCUGUCAAAGGUCGUCUUGUGGUCUUCAGCUGUGAUGGAUCGUUGGUUCCUCCCAACAGACGGAUCUUUCUGCGGCGGCAGCAGCAGCUCCGGCCUGCGGGGUCACAACAGGAAAGCCCCUGCAGGCUCUCAGUCACUCACGGCAUGCGGCUGGACGUUAUCUGUCUCUGGAUCUCCUCCUCCGCUUCCCCUCCAUUGAACACCGAGUUGCACGGCACGUCCAUUCCCAGCGCGUCCAAAGUCGAAACAGACCUGAUCUGGAAUAAUUCGGAAUGUUCGAUGCAGUUAAUGGACGUAAACUGUUGCCAAGUAAAACAAAAAUGUUCAGAGACGGGUUGAUAAGUUUUAGUCAUUCACUCACAAAGGAAUCAAAGUCUUUUACUUUGAACGCAGGUCACGCAGAUGUUGGAUUAACUCAUCUCCCUUUUUUCUCACAAUCAAGCUCCCCUCUUGCUUCCGUCUGUGCUCGCGUGAGGCUUCCUGGUGGAUGUUUGUAUUUGUCAACCCUCGGCUCAUUACCCGUGCAGGCAGCUGUUAGAGGGCGGCUCCUUCACUUGAGAUCUUCAUUGACAUCGAGCAUGUGCCGAUAACAGCCAGGUCGCCCUCCUCCACCGAUAAUAGACAAAAGGUACUCGCAGGCAUUUUCUGUUAUUAUAUAUAUAUAACAAUCGUAUUAGACUAUUGCCACAAGCGAAAAUAAAAUGGCUGUUUCAUGCACAUCACCAUGGAGGGCGAUUGCUCGUCGUCACACACAUCACAAGAGUCGUAUGAUAUCUAACUCAGUUGCUGCCCAUUUUUUAAUGCACUUUUCUCCCAAAACUGGAAAGGUGUCAAUAUGCGAUUUUAAAAGAUUACAUAAAACAUAAAAUGGUGUUUGCUUGAGUUGGGAAGCACUAAACUUCAACACAUGAGCUUCCUUAUUCUCCUUUUUGAUGUCAGUUGCCGGUCGGGAUCAGAAUCAUCACUCUCUCGACACAACAUGCAGCACAUGUUGUAGAGAUUCUUUCAAGCCAAGCUUUCCUUAUUACAAAUAAUUCAAAUCUGGUUUCAGACAUGCAUUAUAAAUGUUGCCUUUUCCCAUCUUUCCUUUACAAACCAAGCUAAAGAAUAAUUGAUUACACGGCACAAGCAAGGACACAUUCUUCCUCGUGUCUUGUGCUUUUUGCUGGUUGGAUCGGAGGGACCUUAGGCUAUCUCCUCUUAACAAAGGGAACUUGUUCCGUGAGAGGCACAAUUAAAGAGUGGGAGGCAGGAAGAUUACACACAAGCUUUAUGGGCACCUCCAAAAUGACUCAAGAGCCGACUAUUCAACAGCUGGUAAAAUGAUCCAUAGUCACGAAACACGCAGAGCCAAUCUUCUCCCUGUAACGCGCACGCUCCUCUUCCUCCUCCUGCCAGACGUUACCGCCACGGGGGUCACGCAAAGUCAAAGGGAGAUGGAAAGCGGUUCUGACGGCGGGGCCGAAGUGAACUAAGGCGUUCAGUCUGGCGGCUGUCGGAAGAGAUGAAGCCACAGCGGCCUUCCAACGUCAGCAACACAGCGCACAGUAGAUCAGUAAUAACUUUAACACAUGACGACGCACCACUUUCCAUCACGUACGCAACUUCAAAGGGGGGAAAUAUGGUAUUUAUUGAUGGGCCCAUAAUUCAGUCCUCCUCCAACGCCGGUCAAAUUUCAGUGGACGAGGCAGGGAGAAUGGGAACCAGAUGAUAUGAGGCCGGGGCCCCAAACCCGGGCUUUCAAUUUAGGCCGGCAGGUUGUCGGGUCGAAUCCUGAUGGGGGGAAGAGACCCCCCCCCUUCACCCCCCGGACCAUGGGGCAGAGAGAAAAACAACCUCUAGACCUGUCUGAUGUAUCCACACAUCACAUGAGCUCAAGAAAACCUUCCUCAUGUUCUGAGUAUUUUAAUUGUCAUACAACAUUGUUUUUGUUUUUCAUAACAUUUUCAGGUUUUAGGCUGAUUUUUGAUUACUCGUGUGAAUCGAAUACUAAAUAAUUACAUUUUCUCAUUUAAUUUUAUUAAAAUAAUAGUUAACAGGUAAGCUAUUGCUAUUAGCUAGAUAUCUAAAGUUAGUUUUUUGGCUUCA
Molecule: long non-coding RNA, 2978 nt
Organism: Gasterosteus aculeatus aculeatus (three-spined stickleback)
Lineage: Eukaryota; Metazoa; Chordata; Actinopteri; Perciformes; Gasterosteidae
Source: Ensembl